RNAcentral lists this ribosomal RNA (478 nucleotides) under uncultured bacterium. Its description in RNAcentral is "partial 16S ribosomal RNA". It matches the Rfam family "Bacterial small subunit ribosomal RNA", at positions 28 to 523 of the family's 1533-position model. The record is from RNAcentral.
GACGAACGCUGGCGGCGUGCUUAACACAUGCAAGUCGAACGGUAAGGCCCUUCGGGGUACACGAGUGGCGAACGGGUGAGUAACACGUGGGUGAUCUGCCCUGCACUUCGGGAUAAGCCUGGGAAACUGGGUCUAAUACCGGAUAGGACCACUGCCUGCAGGGGUGGUGGGGGAAAGCUUUUGCGGUGUGGGAUGGGCCCGCGGCCUAUCAGCUUGUUGGUGGGGUGAUGGCAUACCAAGGCGACGACGGGUAGCCGGCCUGAGAGGGUGACCGGCCACCCUGGGACUGAGAUACGGCCCAGACUCCUACGGGAGGCAGCAGUGGGGAAUAUUGCACAAUGGGCGCAAGCCUGAUGCAGCGACGCCGCGUGAGGGAUGACGGCCUUCGGGUUGUAAACCUCUUUCAGCACCGACGAAGCGCAAGUGACGGUAGGUGCAGAAGAAGGACCGGCCAACUACGUGCCAGCCGCCGCAGUAA